RNAcentral lists this ribosomal RNA (405 nucleotides) under uncultured bacterium. Its description in RNAcentral is "bacterial SSU rRNA". It matches the Rfam family "Bacterial small subunit ribosomal RNA", at positions 29 to 419 of the family's 1533-position model. The record is from RNAcentral.
AACGAACGUUAGCGGCGCGCCUAACACAUGCAAGUCGAGCGAGAAGGAAGCAAUUCCUGUAAAGCGGCGCACGGGUGAGUAACACGUAGGUAAUCUACCUCGAAGUGGUGGAUAACCUUCCGAAAGGAGGGCUAAUACAGCAUGAGACCACGGUUUCGAAAGAGAUUGAGGUCAAAGCGGGCCACUAUACAUAAGCUCGCGCUUCGAGAUGAGCCUGCGGCCCAUCAUGGUAGUUGGUAGGGUAAUGGCCUACCAAGCCGAAGACGGGUAGCUGGUCUGAGAGGAUGAUCAGCCACACUGGAACUGAGACACGGUCCAGACUCCUACGGGAGGCAGCAGUGGGGGAAUCUUGCGCAAUGGGCGAAAGCCUGACGCAGCGACGCCGCGUGAGUGAUGAAGGCCUUC